GGCUUUUCUUCUCCCAGGAAGAAUCCAGAAUAGUUCAGACAAGCUUCAGGUCCGCCAGAACCGGGGAAAACAACGUCUCUGCCUGGAUGGACUGGCCUAUCUCUGCUGGAUUCCCGAAGUGCAUUGUGUAGAGACAGCAACUCAGGUCAGGCUAAAAGCUCAAGCAAGCAAGCGCGCACACACACGCGCGCACACACACACACACACACACAAACACUCAGCUUCCUUAGGACAAGAUAAAAUCUUAGCAUUCCCCUCUCCCCGAUUAGGUAGGUCUCUGGGAGGACUAAGGCUUCAGGUGCAAGGCUCAGAUAACCUGCAGUGUCUCUCCAACUCUGGGAUGACAAAGACCUCACUUCCCUUUUCUGGUGUUCACACAACAAUGAGAAAGUACGGGUAGCCUGCAGAAAGACCUCUCCAUUCAUGGUCCCCCAGGGGUGUGGGUUCUGAGAGGUGGGACCAGCUGCCAGGCCCUUUCUCCAUUGGUUGAGUUCAGCAGGUAACCUGAAGCUUUGCUGAGAGGUGCAUAAAUAAAGAGUGAAACUAGUACCACCUCCUUGAAAUGGGCUGAGUCCCUCUUGCUCACCCUUGACUUGGAAAAACCAGUUUCUCUUUUAUUGUCUGUUACUAAUCUCUAUUCUAAAAAUUCAGCUCAAUUCUCAACCAUACUCCAAACUCUCUCUUUUCCAGCUACCUUUACUCCCUCUCCUUCAAUUCCACUUUCCUCUGCUUACUUUUUUUUUUUUUCUGACAGGGUCUCACUUUGUCGCCCGGGCAGGAGUGCAGUGGCUCAAUCUUGGGCUCACUGCAGCCUCAACCUCCCAGGUUCAAGCGAUUCUCCUGCCUCAGCCCCUCAAGUAGCUGGGACUACAAGCGCACACCACCACGCCUGACUAAUUUUUUGUAUUUUUUUGUAGAGGCGGGGUUUCACCAUGUUGCCCAGACUGGUCUUGAACUCCUGAGCUUAAGCAAUCCACCUGCCUCGGCCUCCCAAAGUGUUGGGAUCACAGGCGUGAGCCACCGCAUCCGGCCUCAUGUUCUUUUUCAUUAAAGAGAGAAAUCAACUAUUCAGGACCGGCCCCCACCUUUCCUCAGGAGUCAUUUCUGUUCCGCACAGGCCUGCUGAACUGGGUGCUUUAUAUAGGACACUGUCAUCUCUCAAGUACCCAUCUUGGAGGGUACGGACCCCACAUGAGGAAAGGACCAACCACACCGAGCUCAGUUAUGGCACACACAGUGGGACCUAGACAAAGGGAGAGGGUGACCGACAUCCCAACUAGAUUUCAGUGGAGUGAAGUUCAGGAGGCAUGGAGCUGACAACCAUGAGGCCUCGGCAGCCACCGCCACCACCGCCGCCGCCACCACCGUAGCAGCAGCAGCAGCAGCAGCAGCAGCAGCAGCAGCAGCAAGAGUAACUCUGACUUAGGAAUAGAGACAGCCAGAGAGAAAUGUGAUCAAUGAAGGAGACAUCUGGAGUGUGCGUGCUUCUUCAGAGGGACGGGUGAUGGGCAGAUUGGAAAAAGCACCGCAGAUGGGAACCUUAAUCUUUCUUUUCUAAAAUUGAUGCUAUGAAAAUUUGCGUUUUCUGUAACUUGUAAAAACUAAAAGUUGCUUGUCUACUGAAAAGCCUCUCUGCCUCUAUGUUUUAUACCAUCGGAUGCCAACUCCCGGCCUUCUAAGCCACCUCCCCUUUAGGCUAAAACUGAGACAUGAACUUGAAAAAUUGACACUGGCUUCCUCUCUCUUUAGGGUCCCCAGGCAGGUGGCUGGGACACUAUUUGCAAUCAGCAAGGAACCCUGCUGCCCUUAGACUCCCCACAGAGCAAGCAGAACUUGCAGAAUGGGGUAAAAACACUCUAUUAAAGAUUUUUUAAACCUAUUUAUAUUGUAAUAAAGUAAAUGUAAAUAAAAUUUAAGUGAAGGCAGAUUGCAGAUAUUUCCGAUGCUAUACAAGAUAUAUCUCAUAGUAUGGGUGUAGAUUCUGCAAAGGUUAAUGCAGUUAAACAUAUUUGACACAUAAAAAUGUCAGAUCCAACAUUAAUCAUUCACCAAUUGUAAUUGCCUUUCUAUGGGUCUCUUCUCCCCAAGACAUAGCUUAAAACACCAGGCUCGGUAGAAAUCUGGGAGGAAAAAAGCAAAUAAUACCUCUCAGCUGUCAGGGUCUAUGAUACGCUUUGAUAGAUUUAGCACUGAUUUCAUUCUCUUUACAAUUCAGUGUGAUUGGGUGUGCGUGUGUGUGUGUGUGUGUGUGUGUGUGUGUGUGUGUGUUACUCCAUGUUUCUCCUUUUUAAGGAAGGAGAAGGUGUGGAACAAGAGAAAGUUCCUAAGUCUGAAGGAAGUCCAACCCAGUUAUGAAGGGAAUGCCAUCCACAAGCCUUUUUUAUAAUUGGCCCCUGCCUCAGGUAAAGGGGUCUCCUUUAAGGAGCCAGUCUGGCUAAAUUGGCAGAUUCUGAACAAAGCCUGGCCCUGACAAGUCUUCAGAAAAACCGGUUUUCACCUCCAGAAUGUGCCCCAG
RNAcentral lists this long non-coding RNA (2515 nucleotides) under Homo sapiens (human). RNAcentral describes it as "HSALNT0021031". The record is from RNAcentral. Lineage: Eukaryota; Metazoa; Chordata; Mammalia; Primates; Hominidae.